Molecule: non-coding RNA, 23 nt
Filed under: Cricetulus griseus (Chinese hamster)
Lineage: Eukaryota; Metazoa; Chordata; Mammalia; Rodentia; Cricetidae
Source: RNAcentral
UUAGAACCACAAUGGAUUUGAGG